UUUUCCCUUGUUUUCUUUGAGCUAUGAUAUGGAACUUCCACAAAUAAGCUUGAGAAACCAUUUUGAGUUGCUGACCACCAAACUUGAUUUCCUGCAAGGUACAAAACUGAAAUAAUAUGCUCAUUAGCCUCAAGUAUUCAGUUGUAUAUGGUUUUUAUAGUGUGAAAGCCCUCAUUCCAUAAGAAGAAGAAACUAGAUGUUAAAU
Molecule: long non-coding RNA, 205 nt
Filed under: Ricinus communis (castor bean)
Lineage: Eukaryota; Viridiplantae; Streptophyta; Magnoliopsida; Malpighiales; Euphorbiaceae
Description: long non-coding RNA (RCOM_LNC000552)
Source: RNAcentral